AGAGGAGUCCGAAGGGAUGCUAAAAAUCGACGGCUCCGUCGUCGAAGAUGGUGUCUGAACUGUCGGCUGGCUAGGAGUGGAAUCCGCAUUUUCUAAUUUAAUGUGCGAUACCUAUAACAAAACAUGGCAAGAAAAUCAUUAGGCGGAAGGUCCUCUUGCUUUGACCCAUAGAGCGUUGAAGACGUGGCCUGUCUGGACGAGAGUCACCGGAGCUGUCCUCGGUCGGACUGCUCGGACUCAACUGGCUCAUCAACGUUUCCCCUGAGAAGACGAUCGCCAUAGUCUUUACAUCAGGCAUCUAGUCUACCAGUCUAGUCUACCAGUUUCUACUCAUGCUGCUGUUCGAAGGUGCCUCUAUCACUCUAUAGACACUGUGAUGAACCUUCGUGUGUUGUAUGGAACCGAGACGGGAUACGAUACUGAAAACAGGUGUUCACCAGGACCUUGUGUCUUUGAUGGAGUGCCGUUGUUAAAGAUACGACCACUAAGGACUAACGGAUUAAUGGAGGGAUCUGGGAUUUUUACCUGACGAGUGCCUAAACUCUACGGAAGAGACAAAGCGUAGUUUGGACGUCUUUUGAUGAGGUAAGAUAGUGGGAUGAGGCUUAACAUUGUUACGUUCAUCGCUAGUAGAAGAUGGUUGGGAUCUAUCUGAAACAUGCCACAUUGAACGUCUAAUAUGAGAUAUAUAUUACGUGACAAUAUCUCGAUCAUUACCUCCGAGAGAAAUUCUUCAAGAUGCACGCGACAUCUUCCUCUGCUUGUUUCCAUCUCAAAAAUACUUUUCAAAAUUCAUUAAUCAUCUACGACGUAAGCACGACGUAUUCACGUGAGUUUUUUUUUUUUUAAUUGAGCACGCAAUCGCCUCUGACAAAGUAAUGUAACAUCAGGAUAACCCAUUGUCAGUGAGGGAUGAUGAGAAACAGAGAGAGAGAGAGAGAGAGAGGGAGAAGAAAAUAAAAGACAGAUCAGUGAAGACAAUGAAGUCGUGAAGAGUAAAAGAACAUAGAGGGUAGUUUUGAGUGAAGAAUGUCGAGGCGAAGGCGUUCCUGGUGCAGAGUGGUUAUGCAACGAUUAACGGGAUACCAACUGUUGGACAUUACCAUUGUCUAAAUACUGCUAUGUAUAGUAAGUUCGGUGUGGACUUAGGUAACGUUACAAACAAACGAUAAUGAGUAUAUAUACAUAUAUGUAUAUAAUAUGUAUGUAUAUACUAAUAGAAUAUAACAUAAGGAUGGUAUACAGCAAAAAGGCAAAAUAUACAGAACGACGAGUCAAAUGAUAUAAGUGGUGACAGUUAAUUGUCACUAUGGGCUCGAAAGGAAGUGGGGAACGAAGAAAAAACUAUAAAAGCACAUAAGGGGGAAUUAUUAAUUUCGAGUAAAUUCAUAACGUACGAUAUAGUGAAAUAGCAUAAAGAAUAUACACACGUACAGGAUAUAUAUCGUGAGAAUAAAUAUAAAGUCACGUAGAA
Cephus cinctus (wheat stem sawfly) is the source of this 1474-nucleotide long non-coding RNA. RefSeq lists it as uncharacterized. NCBI's taxonomy places the organism in Eukaryota, Metazoa, Arthropoda, Insecta, Hymenoptera, Cephidae. The record is from RefSeq and is a predicted model, not a curated record. The transcript has 4 exons.